GUAAUCGUAGGUCAGCAUACUACGGUGAAUACGUUCCCGGGCCUUGUACACACCGCCCGUCAAACCAUGAGAGUUGGCAACACCCGAAGUCGGUAGUCUAACCGCAAGGAGGACGCCGCCGAAGGCGGGGUUGAUGAUUAGGGUUAAGUCGUAACAAGGUAGC
Molecule: ribosomal RNA, 163 nt
Filed under: uncultured bacterium
Lineage: Bacteria
Description: partial 16S ribosomal RNA
Rfam family: Bacterial small subunit ribosomal RNA
Source: RNAcentral